AAGUGCGAAUGCUGACAUAAGUAACGAUAAAACGGGUGAAAAACCCGUUCGCCGGAAGACCAAGGGUUCCUGUCCAACGUUAAUCGGGGCAGGGUGAGUCGGCUCCUAAGGCGAGGCUGAAAAGCGUAGUCGAUGGGAAACAGGUUAAUAUUCCUGUACUUGGUAAAGCUGCGAUGUGGGGACGGAGUAGGUUAGGUUAUCGCACUGUUGGAUAUGUGCGUUUAAGUUGGUAGGUGGGAAGUUUAGGCAAAUCCGGACUUCCUUAACACAGAGAGAUGAUGACGAGGCUCUACGGAGCUGAAGUAACUGAUACCACACUUCCAGGAAAAGCCACUAAGCGAAAGGCUUUACUAAACCGUACUGAAAACCGACACAGGUGGUCAGGUAGAGAAUACUCAGGCGCUUGAGAGAACUCGGGUGAAGGAACUAGGCAAAAUAGCACCGUAACUUCGGGAGAAGGUGCGCCGGCGUAGAUUGUAAGGGCUAGCCCCUGAAGGUUGAACCGGUCGAAGAUACCAGCUGGCUGCAACUGUUUAUUAAAAACACAGCACUCUGCAAACACGAAAGUGGACGUAUAGGGUGUGAUGCCUGCCCGGUGCUGGAAGGUUAAUUGAUGGUGUAAUCGAAAGAGAAGCACCUGAUCGAAGCCCCAGUAAACGGCGGCCGUAACUAUAACGGUCCUAAGGUAGCGAAAUUCCUUGUCGGGUAAGUUCCGACCUGCACGAAUGGCAUAAUGAUGGCCAGGCUGUCUCCACCCGAGACUCAGUGAAAUUGAAAUCGCCGUGAAGAUGCGGUGUACCCGCGGCUAGACGGAAAGACCCCGUGAACCUUUACUAUAGCUUGACACUGAACAUUGAAUUUUGAUGUGUAGGAUAGGUGGGAG
RNAcentral lists this ribosomal RNA (883 nucleotides) under Haemophilus sp. HMSC066A11. RNAcentral's name for it is "bacterial LSU rRNA". It matches the Rfam family "Bacterial large subunit ribosomal RNA", at positions 1286 to 2153 of the family's 2925-position model. Lineage: Bacteria; Pseudomonadati; Pseudomonadota; Gammaproteobacteria; Pasteurellales; Pasteurellaceae. The record is from RNAcentral.